Molecule: non-coding RNA, 305 nt
Filed under: Streptomyces afghaniensis 772
Lineage: Bacteria; Bacillati; Actinomycetota; Actinomycetes; Kitasatosporales; Streptomycetaceae
Description: Bacterial large subunit ribosomal RNA
Rfam family: Bacterial large subunit ribosomal RNA
Source: Rfam by way of RNAcentral
CGAGAAGCGACUGUUUACUAAAAACACAGGUCCGUGCGAAGCCGUAAGGCGAUGUAUACGGACUGACGCCUGCCCGGUGCUGGAACGUUAAGGGGACCGGUUAGCUCCAUUUCGGUGGGGCGAAGCUGAGAACUUAAGCGCCAGUAAACGGCGGUGGUAACUAUAACCAUCCUAAGGUAGCGAAAUUCCUUGUCGGGUAAGUUCCGACCUGCACGAAUGGCGUAACGACUUCUCGACUGUCUCAACCAUAGGCCCGGUGAAAUUGCACUACGAGUAAAGAUGCUUCGUUUCGCGCAGCGAGGACG